AGUUGGUCAUUCAGAGGCUUAUGACAGCCGCAGUGAACUUGGGAGGGAAAUAAGCCACCCUUUCAUAAUGGAAACAAAUCUGGCAGGAUUAAUAAUGGAUCUUCUGUGAGAGAUAGGUGUGGGGAAGUCAAGUGAUGGGAACACCCUUAAAAAGGUCCACAAGGAGUAAACAUACUGCAGCUCACCCAGACUACAAGAAGGUAUAAAAUGGAGAUUUCCAGCUGAGACAUGGGAUUGAAUUUGCCUUGAAAUUCUAAACCCUCCGCAGCUUUGUCUCUCUACAAGUCAACUGUGAGCUUACCUAGCAACAACACGCAAGAUGUGCCUGCUCAAAAAUAUCCCAAAUACAGCCUUUUCAAUUACAGCA
This is a long non-coding RNA of Passer domesticus (house sparrow), 367 nucleotides long. RefSeq lists it as uncharacterized. The record is from RefSeq and is a predicted model, not a curated record. NCBI's taxonomy places the organism in Eukaryota, Metazoa, Chordata, Aves, Passeriformes, Passeridae. The transcript has 3 exons.